AUGCACGAUUUCUCCUUCGGCUCAGCUUCUCCCCAAACACAGAGUCCUGAUCCCCGCGUGAGGGAGGGAGGCAGCCAGCGCCGGUGCCUUGCUGCACAGCCCCACCGAGAUCCCCACCAGUGCUUCCCCCAGCGAAUCCCCCCGAGGCAAGCGCCAAGAAAAGUCCCCACCACCUGCAUUUUUUGGGCCAGAAAUGUACAGCCUCUGAGGGGCUCGGCGUGUGCAGGAGGAGGAGGAGAAGGAGAAGGAGGAGGAGGAGGCAGCUCCCUGAGAGUGGGACUGUCUUCACGGAGAACUGCUUGCAAGAAACACAUGAUAUUCCAUAGUCUGGUGGCCCUAAAUAUUAGAGGAGAUGGCUCCUAG
This 363-nucleotide long non-coding RNA is filed under the name Anser cygnoides (Swan goose). RNAcentral's name for it is "lncRNA (ENSACDG00005014742.1)". Lineage: Eukaryota; Metazoa; Chordata; Aves; Anseriformes; Anatidae. The record is from RNAcentral.